RNAcentral lists this long non-coding RNA (1258 nucleotides) under Bos indicus x Bos taurus (hybrid cattle). RNAcentral describes it as "lncRNA (ENSBIXG00000010280.1)". The record is from RNAcentral. Lineage: Eukaryota; Metazoa; Chordata; Mammalia; Artiodactyla; Bovidae.
GGCCCCCUCCUCAUGGGUCAGCUCAGCCCCUCGGGACUCACCAGCCCCCUCCUCACAGGUCAGCUCGGCCCAUCGAGCCUUCAGCCAGCGAGACCCACUGUUCUGAGAAGGCAGCCGCAGAAGGAGGGGUUGUCCUUCCGUGACCCAAGGGCCUCUGCACUUCAGGAACAUCCAUCUGAGUGUCUGCCACAGGAACUACUGUGUCACAAAACCAUCCAAAAUAUUGGGGAGCCCAGGCCAGCUGGGAAACACAAGUAGCCUUAAUUCAAGAAAGAGUACCCCGUGCAGUGGAACAAUCAAGGACUUCAAAACUCCAUUUCAAUUUCAAGCUCACUCUCCUAUCCAGUCAAUCCUAAGGGAAUAUCAGUCCUGAAUAUUCAUUGGAAAGACUGAUGCUGAAGCUGAAACUCCAGUACUUUGGCCACCUGAUGCGAAGAACUGACUCCUUGGAAAAGACCCUGAUGCUGGGAAAGAUUGAAGGCAGGAGGAGAAGGGGAUGACAGAGGAUAAGAUGGUUGGAUGGCAUCACCGACUUGAUGGACAUGAGUUUGAGCAAGCUCUGGGAGUUGGUGAUGGACAGGGAGGCCUGGUGUGCUGCAGUCCGUGGGGUCGCAAAGAGUCAGACACAACUGAGCGAUUGAAUUGAACUGAACUGGACUCCCAUCCAGGGUUGCUGCUGGCUGGGAGACUGGUUUUGGGAAGGAGGUGUGGUGGGGGUCUCCUCUGUUCCCCAUCUCAAGUUUCUUCUCCUCCCACUCGGAGCUGCCUCUGGCUCCUUCAGGGUUCACAUUGGUGGGGUAAGGGCUGGGGGAGAGGUUCCCAGUGGCUCUCAAGGCUAGAGGCGGUGGAAGGCUAAACACCCUGAAGUGGACACUCUCCUCUGCAGGGCUUGCCUUCCCAGAACUAGUCCCAGAGCUGAUGGACAGAUGGUGGAAACAGACCCCUGCCUGGGUUGCAGAGAACUGCAUGCUGGGUAGACUGAACAUAGUGUGUCUGCCCGGCACUGUGGAGACUGUUUUUCAUUGGGAAGGAAAAAUCUUGUCAGAGGAGGGGAGGGUAUGCACUGUCUUCCCCCUCCCUUAGGUGACCUGGCAUCUCACUUGGGAAUGGGGAUGAAUACUUGGCAUGUCUUGCCUCAAAGCCUCACUGUCCAGUAUGGCAGCCACUGGUCACGUGUGGCUACCAGGCACAUGAGACGUGCCCUAAGCAUGAAACACGUACUGGCUCUCCACGACUCAGUAUGAAAAAGAAUGCAAAA